Molecule: long non-coding RNA, 1497 nt
Filed under: Felis catus (domestic cat)
Lineage: Eukaryota; Metazoa; Chordata; Mammalia; Carnivora; Felidae
Description: lncRNA (ENSFCAG00000052314.1)
Source: RNAcentral
CCCUCGUGCCUCUGUGGGACCCUCCCUUGGGCCGCGUGCUGGCAGCCGCCGGGAAGCCGCAGGUGGGAGGGCUUCCGACCUGGAAACACACAAUUUCGGUUCUGGCGAAUUUUCCCGGGAUUGCUGGCUGGUGCCGCCUGCGUUCCAUGGUCCUCGCUCUCCGCUCCGGACUCCCGUUGGCCGAGCCCCGGCCCUUCCGCCGGCCUCACGGUUCCCCACGCUUCCCUCCCUGUGUCUGGCCUUGCUGCGGAGCUGUACUUUCUGGCGGCUUCCCCAAACAUCGCAGCCCACGGGCCCUUCCUCGGUUCCAGGCCUGCUCGUGUGUCGUCAGUGCCGUGUGACCGAGUGCACCCGCGUCCUGCCCGCGGUGCCUCUCGGAGCACAGGAAACGGGGCCUCGUGUGCAGGCUGCGCAUACCGGGGGCCCCCUGGCCCAGAGACCAGGUUUCAGUCUCUCUGGAGAACAACCCGGGUCCACCCGGGGAAGGGGGAGGCGGCCCCCCGUGUGGAUGUGGGGAGAAGAUUCUCGAACUGGGUGGCGCCCACGGGGCCGGAGCUCCCGGCUCCCGGGCUCUGGAUCAGGCCCGCCUUGGCUUCCCUCUCCGCCGACUCGAGUCCCCCCGCGCUCUGGUCUGUCUGCUUUUCGUUCUGCUGCCUGCUCUGGUUUGUUUUACAGAAUGUUUGUGCUGAUUUCUACAAAAGUAGGUGUGCUUUCCCACUGCACCUCCCCCUGGCUGGGUUAGUGCCAACGACACCAGUUCUCUUUCUUUAUGACACCCCGGACCAGGUAUGUGAUGAAAACAAAACGUCCGUUUGCCACACUCUUUGUUGUUUCAGCCACCCGUGGAGUGGGGGCGGGUCCCCAGCACUCCCUGGGGCUCGGGAGAAAGUGCACACGUGUGCCCUGUUUGUGUCUGGGUGCUCCCAGCGUGGAGAACGCGGCAAACGCCUCCCACCGGUUUCCGCCGGACGAUGGGACCUCAGGCCGCGUGGAUCUGUCCUUCGUGUUUUCACGUUUGUCCCAGGCAGCUUCUGCUCUGGGACCGUGCGGGCGUGGCCGGCCUGUUCCUGCCUCUCUUCAGAAGCGGGCGGGCCGUCUGAGGUCUGGGCCGGUAAGCGGGAGACAGAGGCGGGAGAAGACACUUGCAUUUCCAGAUGUCACGACCAAGCUGACCUCCCGCAGCCAAACGGGUGUGGGCUCCUUGCAGGCUGGGGCCCUGAGGUGCGACGGCCUGAGCACGGCCUGGUACUCUGGACAGCUCGCGGGAGACCCGCUGCCCCUGGUGACCCCGGCGUAGCUGCGUCUACCCCUCCUCGGGCUCUGCGCGUCCCUCCGGCACCCCCCUGCCGGACAUUGUCCUGGUGCCCGGCUCCUCCGCCCUCGCCAGCGGGUCCCUUGUCCUCCAGGCCAGGGCACGUCAAGCAGAAGAGAGGGGGGAAUCUGCAUCUAGAGGUCCGGCCCAAGACUGACACCCGCUUAUUUGGGCGUCGGGGGUGA